GAUGAAGAACGCAGCGAAAUGCGAUACUUGGUGUGAAUUGCAGAAUCCCGUGAACCAUCGAGUCUUUGAACGCAAGUUGCGCCCGAAGCCGUCAGGCCGAGGGCACGCCUGCCUGGGCGUCACACGCCGUUGCCCCCCCGCGCCCCGCACCCAACUCUUUGGGAGCGACCGCGGGGCGGGCUGAUGAUGGCCUCCCGUGCGCUCCGCCGCGCGGUUGGCCCAAAUACCGAGUCCCCGGCGACGUGCGCCACGACGAUCGGUGGUUGAGAGACCUCUGUCGCAAGUCGUGCGCGCCCGUCGCGUCACGCGGGCUCGCAUAGCGCCUCGCGCCGCACCCGGUGCGGAGCUUUCAACGCGACCCCAGGUCAGGCGGGGUUACCCGCUGAAUUUAAGCAUAUCAUAAGCGGAGGA
RNAcentral lists this unclassified non-coding RNA (411 nucleotides) under soil metagenome. RNAcentral's name for it is "partial contains 5.8S ribosomal RNA, internal transcribed spacer 2, and large subunit ribosomal RNA". The stretch from base 1 to 122 matches the Rfam family "5.8S ribosomal RNA", at positions 35 to 154 of the family's 154-position model. The record is from RNAcentral.